Molecule: ribosomal RNA, 403 nt
Filed under: uncultured bacterium
Lineage: Bacteria
Description: partial 16S ribosomal RNA
Rfam family: Bacterial small subunit ribosomal RNA
Source: RNAcentral
GACGAACGCUGGCGGCGUGCCUAAUACAUGCAAGUCGAACGCAGUGGGGACGGGUGAGUAACACGUGGGUAACCUCCCAUCAGAGGGGAUAACACUUGGAAACAGGUGCUAAACCGAUACUGAUGGAUGGCCCCGCGGUGAAUUAGCUAGUUGGUGAGGUAAAGGCGCACCAAGGCCACGAUGCAUAGCCGACCUGAGGGCGUGAUCGGCCACACUGGGCCUGAGACAGUGCCCAGACUCCAUCGUGAGGCAGCCGUAGGGAAUCUUCGGCAAUGGACGAAAGUCUGACCGAGCAUCGCCGCGUGAGGGAAGAAGGUUUUCGGAUCGUAAAGCUCUAUUGUUAGAGAAGCGGUAUCUAACCAGAAAGCCACGGCUAACUACGUGCCAGCAGCCGCGGUAAUUC